RNAcentral lists this long non-coding RNA (433 nucleotides) under Actinidia chinensis (golden kiwifruit). Its description in RNAcentral is "long non-coding RNA (ACHI_LNC000095)". The record is from RNAcentral. Lineage: Eukaryota; Viridiplantae; Streptophyta; Magnoliopsida; Ericales; Actinidiaceae.
UAUUACUCAUAGCCCCCCCUCACUCUCUCGCUUCUAGAAUGCUUCUAUCGAUUUCUCUCUCUAGCAUCUUCUUCUCUUUUAUACUCAAACAUUAGGAAGACCAUAAAGCAACCCAAAAUCAUUACAAAUAUAGAAUGUAAUUGAGGUACUGUUAAUGUUAAUUAAUACUCCAUUGUUGAAAAAAAUAGAAAUCUCACGAAGGAUUGUGCUUGGGACGAUCUUCCGAAGUUUGGUCUUCUUCUUCUUCAAGACCACGAUUCUUACCCAUAGCCCCCUCUCAGUCUAGACUGCUUCCACUGUUGAUUUCCCUCUCUGUCUCCUUCUUCUAGUCUGCGUUUGAGUAAGAGAGAGAGAGAGCGACUAGCUGUAUAAAGGGAAAAAACAGCUGUAAAAACAGAAAAAAAAAUAGGAAAAAUUAGUUGUAAAAAGAAAA